CUGUGCCGCUUCUCCCUGUGAUGUGAGAGCGUCUGGAAGGCCCUGCAAGAAGUCUGGUCCUAACCGGGGAAGCGUAGAAGCAUUACCCAGACAGACUGAGCAUUUGUCACCUGGGCUUUCUACAGAUGCCAUAGGCAGUGGAAGUCAGCAUCGCAAGCAUCCGUGAGAGCCCUGCAAAAGACUGUGAUGUAGAAGCAGUGGCUCAGCACCUCCCAAGCAAUGGCCAAUCAGAAGAAGAAAGCAAGAUGAACUCUCAUCGUGUUGCAACCUCUUUCCACUUGAUGUCAUCUGGUAUGCAGUAUCCUUUUGGCCAGUUGACGUCAGCUGUCCUAAUUCUGUUUCCUCCCAGCUUCUUGUGCCCUUUCCUGAGAACGGCCUUGGUGCUCUCUCUCUACAACACUGCUUAUCAGAAGGUGUAAACAUCAGAGUGUUACCAGCGUGGUUUUCCUUGUCAAAGCCAAUCAUAGCAUCAUAGCAGACCCCCUGAAGAAAAAUGCAUCCCACUAAGACAGCCCCCCAGUGUCCACGCAGCGAGCCACAUCGGGCUCCCGUGGAGCUGCAGACGGCGCAUUUCCCUGGCAGCAUUGGCCAGGGGUGCUGGGGAGGUUUUGGUGCUCAGCUUGGGCGUGGCGCUGCUUUGCCUGCUUUGUAGGUGUGUGAACAGAAGUGCUUUCCCCCCUUGUGUUCUGUCCCACGGCAUUUGCCCCAUGGUUGGUAGAAGAAAGAGCUGGUGGAUUCAGCAGCAGUAGAUUCUGUUGGUUUCCUUGGUUUAUCCCAAGGCUGCUGUGAAGGGGAGCCUGGUUGGCGUAGCAGUGAGCAGCAGCUAAUGGGCUGU
Gallus gallus (chicken) is the source of this 835-nucleotide long non-coding RNA. RefSeq lists it as uncharacterized. The transcript has 3 exons. The record is from RefSeq and is a predicted model, not a curated record. Lineage: Eukaryota; Metazoa; Chordata; Aves; Galliformes; Phasianidae.